GAUGAACGCUGGCGGCGUGCUUAACACAUGCAAGUCGAACGGUGAAGGCGGAGCUUGCUCUGCUGGAUCAGUGGCGAACGGGUGAGUAACACGUGAGCAAUCUGCCCCUGACUCUGGGAUAAGCGCUGGAAACGGCGUCUAAUACUGGAUACGAGCUGCGAAGGCAUCUUCAGCAGCUGGAAAGAACUUCGGUCAGGGAUGAGCUCGCGGCCUAUCAGCUUGUUGGUGAGGUAACGGCUCACCAAGGCGUCGACGGGUAGCCGGCCUGAGAGGGUGACCGGCCAUACUGGGACUGAGACACGGCCCAGACUCCUACGGGAGGCAGCAGUGGGGAAUAUUGCACAAUGGGCGAAAGCCUGAUGCAGCAACGCCGCGUGAGGGACGACGGCCUUCGGGUUGUAAACCUCUUUUAGCAGGGAAGAAGCGAAAGUGACGGUACCUGCAGAAAAAGCGCCGGCUAACUACGUG
Molecule: ribosomal RNA, 468 nt
Filed under: uncultured bacterium
Lineage: Bacteria
Description: partial 16S ribosomal RNA
Rfam family: Bacterial small subunit ribosomal RNA
Source: RNAcentral